Molecule: ribosomal RNA, 600 nt
Filed under: Streptococcus mitis
Lineage: Bacteria; Bacillati; Bacillota; Bacilli; Lactobacillales; Streptococcaceae
Description: bacterial SSU rRNA
Rfam family: Bacterial small subunit ribosomal RNA
Source: RNAcentral
UGGCGGCAGCUAUAAUGCAGUAGAACGCUGAAGGAGGAGCUUGCUUCUCUGGAUGAGUUGCGAACGGGUGAGUAACGCGUAGGUAACCUGCCUGGUAGCGGGGGAUAACUAUUGGAAACGAUAGCUAAUACCGCAUAAUAGUAGAUGUCGCAUGACAUUUGCUUAAAAGGUGCAAUUGCAUCACUACCAGAUGGACCUGCGUUGUAUUAGCUAGUUGGUGAGGUAACGGCUCACCAAGGCAACGAUACAUAGCCGACCUGAGAGGGUGAUCGGCCACACUGGGACUGAGACACGGCCCAGACUCCUACGGGAGGCAGCAGUAGGGAAUCUUCGGCAAUGGACGGAAGUCUGACCGAGCAACGCCGCGUGAGUGAAGAAGGUUUUCGGAUCGUAAAGCUCUGUUGUAAGAGAAGAACGAGUGUGAGAGUGGAAAGUUCACACUGUGACGGUAUCUUACCAGAAAGGGACGGCUAACUACGUGCCAGCAGCCGCGGUAAUACGUAGGUCCCGAGCGUUGUCCGGAUUUAUUGGGCGUAAAGCGAGCGCAGGCGGUUAGAUAAGUCUGAAGUUAAAGGCUGUGGCUUAACCAUAGUACGCUUU